NNNNNNNNNNNNNNNNNNNNNNNNNNNNCACGCGCGCACACAUUGGGUCUCCAGGCGGCGGCCGUGGCCGCAUCCCCGGCAGCAGCUCCGGGCAAAGUGACAGGUAGGAGAAGGCAUUUCGGGUCCCGCCCGAGGAUGCUCCCGCCCGCCCCGGCCCGCGGGGUUUGUUUGUUCCCAGCGGGUGCGUCCCGGACGCGUGCGCGCGCACCCGGAUGCCCUGCCUGGGAGCCGGUGCAGGUGCGGGGUGCUAGGCGCCGCGCGCGCGGGAGGCAGGGGUCCGCGCGCCACCCCCUCCCCUGUAAUCAUCGCCUACUGGGUUUCCUCCGACUCCGUCCAGACGUUAACCGCUUCUGGCUAGAAAUAGCUCGGCUCGACGUGUAUAUGAUUAUUUUGGUUGGAAAUAGUUGGCACCGUGCAAAGCAUGUAAAUGUGUAUGCAUGUGGAUCUUCUUACCUCUUCUGGGGAGGUCAUCCAGAGGAAAGAGACCGCAGACCAUUAGAUUUAUACCUGACAUCUCAUGCUGCCCUUUGGAGCAAGAGUCCUUCAUCUCGGGUCCACCCUAUAAUGGUCUGAGGAUGGAAUUUGGUGGGUUGGUGAAUUUAGCUGGCAAAUGAAUUACGUCUUUAUUUGCAUUCGCUUCCAAAUGAUGAUUAGGCUAAGUAUUAUUGUCACUCUGGAUCUUGGCUUUAAUGGGUUGAAAAAGAAACACAUGCAUUACUAGGUAUGCCCAGAUUUAAAAAAAAAUUUUUUUUGAUAAGUAUAUUCCAAUAUCCGUUGUUUUCCUUUGUGCUUCAUUUUACACAUUUAAAAAUAUUACAUUCAUAGGGUCUAUAUCAUUCCCCAGAUUUGGCAGAGGGUGGGCUUUGUGACCCACUGAAGGUAAAGGACAACUGCUCUAGAAACACUUUGUCUUAGAUGCAGCUGGGGUCUAAGUGGGGGGGCUGCCUCGUGGGUUUGCUUUCAGCAGGUGCAAAGUUGCUAAGACCCUUGGGUGUUGGAAUCAGGCAGACCUGAGUUUGAAUCUCAACGAUGUCCUGUAUUAACUGUGUGAUCCUGGACACCUACCCACUUGCCCCAUCUGUAAAAUGAGGAGAAUAACCCCAUAGGGCAAAAGUGCACAGCACACUGUACUGUGUCUCAUGCUGGGUACUGUAUUUCUGUUGCUUUUGCUACAGACAAGAUUAGUCUUUCUCCUCAUAUGCUAGUAUUACCGCUCACUCUCUCCUUCUCUGGAGGGGCAGAUGCCAUUGACGUAGCCAUACAAAGUAGGCUGAGUCAGUUUCUAUAAAACUUAUAACAGAGGUUCCUUGGCUGGCUCAGUUGGUUAAGUGUCUGCCUUUGGCUCAGGUCAUGAUUUCCAGGUCCUGGGAUCCGGCCCCAGGACAGGCUCCCUGCUCAGCAGGGAGAGUCUGCAUCUCUCUCUCCCUUCACCUACCCCCCUCCCCAAACCUGCUCAUGGUGUGUAC
Molecule: long non-coding RNA, 1466 nt
Filed under: Mustela putorius furo (domestic ferret)
Lineage: Eukaryota; Metazoa; Chordata; Mammalia; Carnivora; Mustelidae
Description: lncRNA (ENSMPUG00000028626.1)
Source: RNAcentral